Molecule: long non-coding RNA, 229 nt
Organism: Strigops habroptila (Kakapo)
Lineage: Eukaryota; Metazoa; Chordata; Aves; Psittaciformes; Psittacidae
Exons: 3
Source: RefSeq, a predicted model, not a curated record
AGGUCAUCCUGAGGUUGUCUACAAAACCAGUGCUGGUCUCUGUUGGCCAUGAGCCUGCAAGGGUGGCUUGAGCUGUGUCCAAAUUGCUGGAAAGAACUGUGCUGCAAGAACAGGGAAGGGCAAAACCAGGCAGAAGACGAGAGAGAUUCCAAAACAUCGUCAUCCUGGAAGUACAGGUGAAUCUAAUGGGUAGGUAAGCAAGCAAUACAUAGCUUAAGAAAAGUUGAUA